RNAcentral lists this ribosomal RNA (253 nucleotides) under uncultured bacterium. Its description in RNAcentral is "partial 16S ribosomal RNA". It matches the Rfam family "Bacterial small subunit ribosomal RNA", at positions 524 to 776 of the family's 1533-position model. The record is from RNAcentral.
GACGAACCGUGCGAACGUUGUUCGGAAUCACUGGGCUUAAAGGGCGCGUAGGCGGGCGAUCAAGUCAGGGGUGAAAUCCGUCGGCUUAACCGGCGAAGAGCUUUUGAUACUGGUCGUCUCGAGGGAGAUAGGGGCGUGCGGAACUUCCGGUGGAGCGGUGAAAUGCGUAGAUAUCGGAAGGAACACCGGUGGCGAAAGCGGCGCGCUGGAUCUCUUCUGACGCUGAUGCGCGAAAGCCAGGGGAGCAAACGGG